AGAGUUUGAUCAUGGCUCAGAUUGAACGCUGGCGGCAGGCUUAACACAUGCAAGUCGAACGGUAACAGGAAGGAAGCUUGCUUUCUUUGCUGACGAGUGGCGGACGGGUGAGUAAUGCUUGGGAAUCUGGCUUAUGGAGGGGGAUAACUACGGGAAACUGUAGCUAAUACCGCGUAAUAUCUUCGGAUUAAAGGGUGGGACCGUAAGGCCACCUGCCAUAAGAUGAGCCCAAGUGGGAUUAGGUAGUUGGUGGGGUAAAGGCCUACCAAGCCGACGAUCUCUAGCUGGUCUGAGAGGAUGACCAGCCACACUGGAACUGAGACACGGUCCAGACUCCUACGGGAGGCAGCAGUGGGGAAUAUUGCACAAUGGGGGGAACCCUGAUGCAGCCAUGCCGCGUGAAUGAAGAAGGCCUUCGGGUUGUAAAGUUCUUUCGGUGAUGAGGAAGGCGGUUGUUUUAAUAGAACAAUCGAUUGACGUUAGUCACAGAAGAAGCACCGGCUAACUCCGUGCCAGCAGCCGCGGUAAUACGGAGGGUGCGAGCGUUAAUCGGAAUGACUGGGCGUAAAGGGCACGCAGGCGGUGACUUAAGUGAGAUGUGAAAGCCCCGGGCUUAACCUGGGAAUUGCAUUUCAUACUGGGUCGCUAGAGUAUUUUAGGGAGGGGCAGAAUUCCACGUGUAGCGGUGAAAUGCGUAGAGAUGUGGAGGAAUACCGAAGGCGAAGGCAGCCCCUUGGGAAUAUACUGACGCUCAUGUGCGAAAGCGUGGGGAGCAAACAGGAUUAGAUACCCUGGUAGUCCACGCUGUAAACGCUGUCGAUUUGGGGAUUGGGCUUUAAGCUUGGUGCCCGUAGCU
Molecule: ribosomal RNA, 856 nt
Filed under: uncultured bacterium
Lineage: Bacteria
Description: bacterial SSU rRNA
Rfam family: Bacterial small subunit ribosomal RNA
Source: RNAcentral